UACAGAGGUCUCAAGCGUUGUUCGGAUUCAUUGGGCGUAAAGGGUGCGUAGGUGGCAUGGUAAGUCGGAUGUGAAAUCCCGGGGCUCAACCCCGGAACUGCAUUCGAUACUGCUGCGCUAGAGUACUGGAGAGGAGAUUGGAAUUUACGGUGUAGCAGUGAAAUGCGUAGAUAUCGUAAGGAAGACCAGUGGCGAAGGCGGAUCUCUGGACAGUUACUGACACUGAGACGCGAAAGCGUGGGGAGCAAACAGG
This 253-nucleotide ribosomal RNA is filed under the name uncultured bacterium. RNAcentral's name for it is "partial 16S ribosomal RNA". It matches the Rfam family "Bacterial small subunit ribosomal RNA", at positions 524 to 776 of the family's 1533-position model. The record is from RNAcentral.